Molecule: long non-coding RNA, 572 nt
Filed under: Serinus canaria (Common canary)
Lineage: Eukaryota; Metazoa; Chordata; Aves; Passeriformes; Fringillidae
Description: lncRNA (ENSSCAG00000012405.1)
Source: RNAcentral
UUCUUUCCUGAAUAUCACUUAUUUAAAAUAAUUUUUCAGCAAGGUAAUAAAUACAAGUCUGGUUUCUUUUCAGGUUGGACCUUCCAGUUCCUCUCAGAACAGCUAUUCAGGCAAUCAGGGUGGAGUAGUCUACACAAUAAGCAAGAGUGGAUGUGGCCCUGGAGGUGCUGCUGGUGCAUAUGGCCUACAAGCCUGCAGAGAUAGUGCAUCCUUAUCCACCAGUGGUCUUACUUAUGGCCAGUCUGUCCCUUCAAGCAGUUCAGAUUCCAGUAAGAAGGUAAGCAUUCCUGUUCAAAGGGAAAAAUUCUUACAGUCAUAACUUGGCAUGUCUCCUGUUAUUUCAGUCAAGAGUUUUCAAGGCUUUAACCCAGAUUGACUCAUAUGAUUUGAUUUGGUUUGGUUCUUAGAGGCUGGGAGAGCUUCUAAUGAGAAAACAUAAAUACAGCAGAAGAUACGAUUAUUGCAUUUGGCUUAUUUCAGGGUUUUUUUUUAAUGCAGUCAAUAUCAAGUAUUUUUUAUUUUUUAUCAUAAUACUGAAUAAAGACAAAAUAAAUUGAUGUUCUAGUUUAGGA